UCAUGCCUAAACAUAGCAUAAUGCAAAAUAC
This 31-nucleotide non-coding RNA is filed under the name Mus musculus (house mouse). Lineage: Eukaryota; Metazoa; Chordata; Mammalia; Rodentia; Muridae. The record is from RNAcentral.